Macadamia integrifolia is the source of this 897-nucleotide long non-coding RNA. RefSeq lists it as uncharacterized. Lineage: Eukaryota; Viridiplantae; Streptophyta; Magnoliopsida; Proteales; Proteaceae. The record is from RefSeq and is a predicted model, not a curated record. The transcript has 6 exons.
UGGUAUUUAAGGCAGCAGGGUGACUCUUUGUCUUAUCAAAUGGGGUGGCAAGUUCAUCUCCUAGCUUCUGAGCAAUGUGGAAUGACUGAAAUGCCUUGGCAAAUUCCUUGACAGGAAUAAAUCUGUUUUCAAUGUUGAGGAAUAAUUGGUCAAUUUCAGAAAAAGCCAAUGUUUCUCUCACUGUCAUUUCCCCUAUGUGGAGAUCAUGUUGACUGAUAUAAGCCGCUGUUCUUUGUGGGACAAAUUCAUCCAUUCCAUGGCCAUUGUAAGUUAUUCUCCCGGAGAACUGAGGAAUCAUCAAUAGAAGAGAUCUUGAUCAAGCUUUCCUGCCAAAGACAGCAGCAACGUGGUCUUUCCGGAGCUUGGAGGCCCUAAAAGCAAUGUCAUCCUGCAAACAUUCAGAUCAACCAAAGACUUGGAUUAGGUUCAGAGCCUGACUAUGACAUCAUGAAGGAUUGACAGUGGCUCCUUUCUACUAGGGAGAAUAUGAAGAUAGGACAAGAGCCCCUUACAAAACCAGAAACCAGAUUACUUGGUAAAGCUCUACUUCCCACAUAAGCUUCUGCGUCUACAUUUACACGCUCGAAGCGGACUUCAAUCGUGGGAACUUCAAUUCCAACCCUGAGUAACAAAACAAAGAGGGAAAAACAGAGUUAUACACUAGGAGAUGAGCCUGGAUUAUUAUGCAUUCUAGACAGAGAAAUGUGAAGAUGAUGUAUAUUUUCAUUAUUUCUGAAAGGACAAGUUUUUGUUUACCGAUCAAGGCGGUCCUUGAGCUUCAACAAGAAAUUCUCAUUGUCUAUCUCUGCAACUUUGACCAGCCUUUCUAACAAAAUCUUCCUCUGUGACAAACCAAGACUCUUAAUGUCAAUUUCCUUGGUGUCACCACCUUCUGAG